Molecule: ribosomal RNA, 253 nt
Filed under: uncultured bacterium
Lineage: Bacteria
Description: partial 16S ribosomal RNA
Rfam family: Bacterial small subunit ribosomal RNA
Source: RNAcentral
UACGUAUGGUGCGAGCGUUGUCCGGAUUUACUGGGCGUGAAGGGGGCGCAGGCGGCGCGCCAAGCCCGAUGUGAAAGCCCGGGGCUCAACCCCGGGACUGCAUUGGGAACUGGCGUGCUGGAGUGCCGGAGGGGCAGGCGGAAUUCCUGGUGUAGCGGUGAAAUGCGUAGAUAUCAGGAGGAACACCGGUGGCGAAGGCGGCCUGCUGGACGGAUACUGACGCUGAGGCCCGAAAGCGUGGGGAGCGAACGGG